CUGGGAACUGCAUUUGAAACUGUUUAACUAGAGUAUGGUAGAGGUAAGUGGAAUUUCUGGUGUAGCGGUGAAAUGCGUAGAUAUCAGAAGGAACACCAAUGGCGAAGGCAGCUUACUGGACCAAUACUGACGCUGAGGUACGAAAGCGUGGGGAGCAAACAGGAUUAGAUACCCUGGUAGUCCACGCCGUAAACGAUGAUAACUAGACGUUGGGGGGAUUGACCCUUUAGUGGCGAAGCUAACGCAUUAAGUUCUCCGCCUGGGGAGUACGGCCGCAAGGUUAAAACUCAAAUGAAUUGACGG
Molecule: ribosomal RNA, 303 nt
Filed under: uncultured bacterium
Lineage: Bacteria
Description: bacterial SSU rRNA
Rfam family: Bacterial small subunit ribosomal RNA
Source: RNAcentral